This 648-nucleotide long non-coding RNA is filed under the name Nicotiana tabacum (common tobacco). Its description in RNAcentral is "long non-coding RNA (NTAB_LNC009546)". The record is from RNAcentral. Lineage: Eukaryota; Viridiplantae; Streptophyta; Magnoliopsida; Solanales; Solanaceae.
GCUUGUGUGGAAUGCCUCUUUCAUCCUCCAACACCUAAAAUUAUUUGGUAAUUUAUGUGACCUCAAAAUUAAUGGGCCAAAAAAUAAUAGCAAAAUAUUAUUGCAAUUUAAGUAAUCGUACCUUGAUUAACACUUGAUGGUCUUGAUAUAUUGUAAAAAGUCCGGCAAUUUUUGGUUAGAGCAUGAGCCUUUCUUGAAAUUAAUCUUUGCAUAAGGCAGCCAACUAUAUGCCUCCCUAUUCAAACUCAAUACAUUAAUUUAAGCACAAGAAGUUUCUGUCAAAAUAAGAUUAAAUGAAAUAAUUUUUUAUGUUGAGUACAUCAGAUCAAAGAUAUAAGAAAAAGGUAAAAGAAAGAAAAAUUUCAGAAAUAAGCCAUGACUUUUUGAUCGAAAUCUUCUCCUCCCAUGUGAGUUUAUCCGUAAUCAUCAUAACCUCAAAAAAACCUUAAUAUAAAACACCUAAUACAUAUUGUUCUUCUUGUUGGACUUGAUUAGAUCACUGAACGAAAGUAAAAUAGUUGGGGCAUGUCGAUCAUUGGAGAUCAAAAUGAGAUUGACUCAAACAGGACAACAUGCUACAAAAUUAUACAUUUUUACUGUUGCUACUUUCAUAUUAUUCGAUAAGGAAAGAUGCAAUUUAGUGUCUGC